CUACCCCCGUACUCUACCUCACGAAAGCUGCCCCGGUACGCCCCGCAACCAUAAACGCGACGCCCAGAGAAGAUGUGAGUGCGUUAAUGCCUAGGAUCGUACGCUGCGAGCAUCUACAUAUUCACCCCGGACCUUUCUCCCGGUCUCGACCGUCUCACUCCAUCUCCGUCCCAUCCACCUGCAGCUAGCAGCGGCCGCGCGCGCUGUGGAUCAUAAGCAAUCUUCCAUGGAGCCGCCGCCUUCUCCGCUGGGCACCGGCGCCGGCGCUGUCUGCUGCAUGUGCGGCGAUCGCGGCCUGCCGCACGAGCUGCUCCGCUGCAAGCUCUGCCGCGUCCGCCUGCAGCACAGAUACUGCAGCGAUCUGUACCCGAGGGCCACGGCGUAUAGGAGGUGCAACUGGUGCCUGAGGGAGCCCGCAGAAGCCCACGCCCAACCCCACGCUCACCCGGUGGCUAGCAAGAAGGCGGACAAACGGAAGAUGGUGGCAUCAACGGAGACGUCCACCUCCGACGAGGAGGAGCGGCGGCAGCACGAGGCCGGAUGCGCCACUGCUACGAGGUCCAGGAGAUCGGCUGCGGAGGUUGGUAAGCCGGUCAAGAAGCCCAAGGUCGACGAGAGGCCACCGCUGCCCCCGUCGCCGGGCACGGCAGCGAAGGGGAACAGCGGCGACAAGAAGCCCAAGGUCGACGAGACGCCAGCGCUGCCUCCGUCGCCGCGCACGGCAGCGAAAGGGAACAGCGGUGACAAGAAGCCCAAGGUCGAUGAGAGGCCGGCGCUGCCUCCGUCGCCGGGCGCGGCAGCGAAGGGGAACAGCGGUGACAAGAAGCCCAAGGUCGACAAGAGGCCAGCGCUGCCUCCGUCGCCGGGCACGGCGGCGAAGGGGAACAACGGCGACAAGAAGCCUAAGGUCGACGAGUGGACGGCGCUGCCCCCGUCCCCGGGCACGGCGGCGAAGGGGAGCAGCGGCGACAAGAAGCCGAUGCAAGCGGGGAAGUUGGCGCGGCCGGGUAGGGUGAAGGUGAGGAGGUACAAGCUCCUGGCAGAGGUGAUUAGCUGCUAGCCAGGAUCACGGAAUCAAAAGGGGAAGUAGCUGGCAACUUAGCCAAAUAGCUAGCCAACAUCGACAUUGGUGAUUUGGUGUCGAUGUAUGUACAUAUCGUUUGCCCGUCGUGUACGGGUUUCCCCUCUCUUUUUUGGGAGAGAGUCGACUACCGUGGUAGCGCUGUACAGAUCUUAAACCGUCAGUUUUAGUAUAUACCAGUUGACGUGCAUAGAGGGGGCGGUUUGACUUUAUGUCUGGGCCGCGAUGAGCUGGUUGCUCCGUGCGGUGGUAUGUUGGGGCGAUGGCCUCCCUCAAGAGAUGAGUCAGUGCAACGGCCAUGGUCUGCGAACGGUUACACUUCGCAACUUAGGUUGUAGGUGGUUAGGCCGUGCAGCAUUGUAACUUGAGAGUGAGUGGUGGUAUGUCGGGGUGGUGGCCCUCGAAGGUUAGGUCAGUAAGCCGGUCAAGGAGCCCAAGGUCGACGAGAAGCCAGCGCUGCCACUGUCGCUGGGGAUGGUAGCGAAGGGGAACAACAACGAUGAGAAGCCGAUGCAGGCGAGAAAGUUGGCGCGGCUGGGUAGGGUCAAGGUGAGGAGGUGCAAACUCCUGGCAGGUGUGAGAAUAAAAGGGUAAGCAGCUAGCCACCAUCGACAGAUGUCGAUAAAUAUAUACAUCGUUUACUCGUCAUAUACAUGUUUUUCCUCCUUUUUGUUUUUUGAGAGAGUUCACUAGGUGCUAGUGAUGUACAAGUCUAGGAGUUUCGAGUAAAUUAAGUCAUUUUUUACUUUUAUACACCAUGGGUUCGUGUGCCAG
RNAcentral lists this ribosomal RNA (1855 nucleotides) under Triticum aestivum (bread wheat). RNAcentral describes it as "partial small subunit ribosomal RNA". The record is from RNAcentral. Lineage: Eukaryota; Viridiplantae; Streptophyta; Magnoliopsida; Poales; Poaceae.